UUACUGGGAAAGAACAAGUCUACAAAUUAAAGAAGGCUUUAUGUAGCGUAAAGCAAGCUUGGGGGGCGUGGUACAACAAAAUUAACUCAUACUUUGUUUUUAAUGGCUGCGAGAAAAGUAAGAAUGAACCUACUUUGUGCUUUAAAAAGCAAGGUAAAAAUGACCUCAUCGUUGGCCUUUACAUUGAUAACAUGGCAUACAUGGGUUCUUCUUCUUUUCUUAUUAAUGAACUUAAAUUGUGCAUGAAAAGAAAGUCUGGAAUGUCAGACUUGGAUUUGUUGCAUUAUUUUCUUGAGUUAGAAGUGAAGCAAGUUGUAGAUGGAAUAAUCAAGUUGCAGUAUUGUAAUACAAAUGAGCACGUAGCUGACAUUUUUACGAAGUCUUUGCCAGGGACAAACAUGUUUCUUUCAGAGAUCAGCUUGAUGUAUGCAAUUUUGAAUAAGGGAUUUAAAAUAUUUGACUGUUGCAACAUUUACUUAGUUCGUAGUUUGUUUCUUUAUUUGUCUAAGUUCGUUGAGAUGUGAUUUAGUGGAAGAGUUUUUUUUAGUACGACGUAUUGCUUUGUAAAACCUAUAUAAAGAGCUUAUUUAUCCAUCUUUAAGACUAUUUCAACAUAUUUGUGCCCAUCACCUGUUUGUUUUAAUUCCUCUUAAAAAUUUUCCCACUUCCUUUGCAAUUUUAAACACUAUUUUUAUAUUUUUAUACUUUGAAUUCUCUUCCUCAACAGGUACAACAUUUUACAAUUCCCGAAGAAGUUGUAUCACCAUGGUAUGAACUGGUAAGUGGGGAGCCAACAAAUGGUUUCUCAUUUUGUGGUACCAAAAACACUCUUAGGG
This 836-nucleotide long non-coding RNA is filed under the name Gossypium barbadense (sea-island cotton). RNAcentral's name for it is "long non-coding RNA (GBAR_LNC000228)". The record is from RNAcentral. Lineage: Eukaryota; Viridiplantae; Streptophyta; Magnoliopsida; Malvales; Malvaceae.